This 451-nucleotide ribosomal RNA is filed under the name Aphthona strigosa. RNAcentral describes it as "partial 16S ribosomal RNA". Lineage: Eukaryota; Metazoa; Arthropoda; Insecta; Coleoptera; Chrysomelidae. The record is from RNAcentral.
UCUUUUAGUUUAUAAUUUAAAGUCUAGCCUGCCCGCUGAGGAGUUGAAUGGCCGCGAUAUUUUGAUCGUGCUAAGGUAGCAUAAUCAUUAGUUUUUUAAUUGAAAGCUAGUAUGAAGGGUUGCAUGAAAAAUUAUCUGUCUCUGGUUAAUUUUAUUAAAAUUUUAUUUUUAAGUUAAAAAGCUUAAAUUUAUUUAAAAGACAAGAAGACCCUAUAGAGUUUAAUAUAUAAGUUAUUUUAUAUUUUUAGAAUUUAAAGUAUAUAUUAAUUAUUAUAUUUAAUUGGGGUGAUUAAAAAAUUUAAUAAACUUUAAUUUUAUAAAAAUAUAAAUAAAUAAAUUAAUGAUCCAAAAUUUUUGAUUAUAAGAAAAAAUUACCUUAGGGAUAACAGCGUAAUCUUAUUAGAGAGUUCAAAUUGAAAAUAAGGGUUGCGACCUCGAUGUUGGAUUAAAA